RNAcentral lists this long non-coding RNA (325 nucleotides) under Meleagris gallopavo (turkey). RNAcentral's name for it is "lncRNA (ENSMGAG00000020352.1)". The record is from RNAcentral. Lineage: Eukaryota; Metazoa; Chordata; Aves; Galliformes; Phasianidae.
AUGCUGAAGGUGAGAUGGGAUCUCCCAUGGGAGAUGGGAGCUCAUACAGUUUGCAGACCACCAUCCAAAAUCUGUGAAGAUGCACACAGAGACUUGCCACUCAGCAACAACUCAAAAUCAACAACUCAAGAGUUGUCCAGGAAGAAGUCUGGCAGAUCUCUGGAUACCAGGUUGCCUCUUAAUUCCUGGUCCAAGAAUGGUUACUAGAAUAUGGAUUGUAUACAUAUAAAGCAAGUAUGGUGGAACAGUUUGCUUUAGGGAAAGAUGCAAAACAGGCUGACAGGCCAGGAGAAAGCUCUAUGCCUCUUGAAAAUUAGAUGAUGUC